RNAcentral lists this ribosomal RNA (409 nucleotides) under uncultured bacterium. Its description in RNAcentral is "bacterial SSU rRNA". It matches the Rfam family "Bacterial small subunit ribosomal RNA", at positions 505 to 916 of the family's 1533-position model. The record is from RNAcentral.
GUGCCAGCCGCCGCGGUAAUACGUAGGGUGCAAGCGUUAAUCGGAAUUACUGGGCGUAAAGCGUGCGCAGGCGGUUAUGUAAGACAGAUGUGAAAUCCCCGGGCUUAACCUGGGAACUGCAUUUGUGACUGCAUAGCUUGAGUACGGUAGAGGGGGGUAGAAUUCCACGUGUAGCAGUGAAAUGCGUAGAGAUGUGGAGGAAUACCGAUGGCGAAGGCAGCCCCCUGGACCGUAACUGACGCUCAUGCACGAAAGCGUGGGGAGCAAACAGGAUUAGAUACCCUGGUAGUCCACGCCCUAAACGAUGUCAACUAGUUGUCGGGUCGUCAGACUCGGUAACGCAGCUAACGCGUGAAGUUGACCGCCUGGGGAGUACGGUCGCAAGAUUAAAACUCAAAUGAAUUGACGG